UUGGGUUUAUUACUCUGGUAUUAAAUGUGAAUCAUGUGUAAUUUGAACUUGUAUAUUCGUUGUUUGUGUUAUAGCUUUUGGCUUUUAAUGAUAGUUUACCUGAGCUAGAAUGAAAACAGAAAAACACAAAGAUGGUUUGACAUCAGAAAUAUUUUGUUUUGUUUUUGACUGUAGCCGAUGUUAUCACGUGAUCGAUUGGAUGCAUGGUUUUACUAAAAUGGAAAUUUUUAACCUGGCCAACAAAAACAAAAGGAUGAUGGUUGCCUUCAAAAUGUCUUUGAAAAUGGGGCAAUGGAAAAGGCUCACAUUUGGGUAGACAAAGUUUUAAAAGAUUCAAUGGGUCAAAUUGAAACUCAUUGUUUUACCAAAUCAUGUGACACAAUUUAAAUUAUUGUAUCUUUGAAAAUUGAAUUUAUUUGGUGUGACACAAUUUAAAUUAUUGUAUUUUUUAAAAUUGAAUCGACUCAAGUUUUGACUAAUUGAAUUUAUUUGGUGUGACAUAAUUUGGAUCAUUGUAUUUUUGAAAAUUGAAUCUACUUAAGUUUUGGCUAACCGGAAGAUACUGGAGUAGUCUGUCACAAGUUGCAUUGGACAUUGGAUAAUAGCUGUUGCCUUCGGCCCUUCGAUAGUUAGUGUGUGUUGGUGAUAUGGUCCUCAUGACAGUUUUUUCUAUCUUCUUUUUGUAUUCCCACCCCUUGCUACAUUCUUUCACCCCCAACUGUUUAUUCGGCCAUAGGUUUGAAUUCUGCAACCCUUUUUGUGGAUCAUAAGGUGGUUACCAGCUAAUAGGAAUAACAAAGCAAAAAUUUUCAAAUAAGUAGAAAAUUUCAAAUGGCAAACUCUCCCCUAAUAACUGUACCAUUCUGGUGAUUAAAUUUUCUCAUGUUUGUUUUGAGGUGUGCUUGGAUGGCAAUUGUGCAGUUUUUUUAAUAUAUCAAACAUUUUUUAUUAUAUUUUUUUUUAUCAUACACACAAAUAUUCAUCAAAAGAGCGUUGUACUAUGAUUUUUCUAAAACUUUGAAAAACCACAUUUUGGUUCACUUUUGACUAAUAUGUCAAUUAUUCGAAAGAUUUCUUGCAACUUUAGUACUAAGGUUUAAAAUACGUCAGCUGUGUUUAGGGAUGGAAAUCGAAAUCGGUAAUUAGAACUUUGAAAUCGAAAUUUUUCGGAAUUUUGGUAUCAGAAUUUUCAACCGAUUUUGAUUUAGAAUUCACCAAUUCCGAAUUCAAAUUCGUUCCGAAUUCAAUUCGAAAUUCGGUAAAUUCCGAUUUCACCGAAUUCAUGAAUAUAAAAAUUAUUAUUAUUAUUAUAUAAAUAUUAUAUUACAUAUAUAUAAAAAUAUUAUAUAUAUGUGUGAAAAUGAAAUUGUUAUCGAAAUAGGAAUUCCGAUUUCACCGAAUUCAUGAAUAUAAAAAUUAUUAUUAUAAUAUAAAUGUUAUAUUAUAUAUAUAUAUAUGAAAAAACAGAUUUGAAAUCGAAAUAGAAAUUCUGAAUUCCGAUUUGAAAAAUCUCAUUACUGAAUUCGACCCGAAUUCGAAUCAGACAUUCGAUUUCCGUUCCGAAUUACGAAUUCCGGAAUUCGAAAUUCCGAAUUCAAUUUGAAUCGAUCGGUAAAUCGGAAUUUUCGAUUUUGCACACCCUACCUGUGUUCCAAAACUCAUUAACUCAACUUAGAUGAUAGGAAUAUUGCCAGACUACGGUGAAGUCCCAAGUUCAUCUUUUAAAUCCUCUCUUUUCCCCUUUUCGGAUUGACGUCUCCCUUUGAACUAAAAGAAGUAUAUCACCUUUGUAUUAAAAAGUAAUAUAAAAUUACACUUAAAAAAUAUUUUGACAUAGACAAGUACCAGGCUAAGUUAAUCCGCUGAAAGCCCUUUUUGUUUUGUUUUAAUUUUUUUUUAAAAAUCAUUAACAGGCAGUUCAACAUAUUAUUAUUAGGACUAGGUUAGAACUUAAGUCACAAUUAAUUAGGUGAUGUGAGGAUCAAGGGAUGGAUCAACUAUAACUGCUUGUUGCAUUUCGUUCAUGUGGCCCGCAUAAUUGCGGAAUGAUUACUUUUAAUGGAAGGUUAAUUAAAGUUCCAAUCAUAGACCUAAUAAGUGCAAUUAGCUUAAUCCAGUUGUUUGGUCAAUGUGGUUGAUACAAUUAAGAACAAGUACCAUAUCAGCUUUUAAUUAAAUGUGUCAAGGACCAGUACUUUUUCAGAUUGAGAACAAUAACACCAUUUCACCACACAUCCCACAUCUGGCACCUAACUCCAUUAAAAAACGAUUAGAUGGUAGCUAAGAGGGGAAUAACAGCUUCGAUGUUUUUUAAUUAAUACAUUUCAUUUUCAGUCAUUUGUUUUUAUUUUUUUUAAUUAAUUGUCUUUGAAGCCAUUGCAUCGUUGCUUGCAUGUAUUUUAGUUGGCAUGUCAUGGGUAAUUUAAUUUGCACAUCAAUAACUUCGUCUAGAAGGGCUUAAUCUCAAGGGUAGUUUUAUAGUAUCUUCUGAAUAUCAUACUCAUGAGUAUCAUCAAUUCAUCGUUCGAUGUGUAAAAGGAGUCAUCAGUUCUCAGAUAAUUUUAGGAGUUUCAAUAUUGAAUGAUAUGGUAAGAGUUUAUUAAAUUAUAAUCACCGAGAUGGUAAAAAUUCCCAAUCUGAGGGUCUAAUCUCGGAAGGUCUAUUGAUACCUGGCCGACAAAACCAAAACUUUCAAGUGUAUUAAACAUAUUUUAAUCCAAGAUAGAACAAGACUGCAGUAGGUGAUCAAUUAGCCAACUAGCUAGACAUCCUCUCUUGGUUGUCCUGUCUUUAGCAGCAGGGAUGUGAGGCCAUUGAUCCAUCUCAUCCAUUGAUUCUUGAUUACAUCCCAAAAAUGUUGGUGGGCAUUUGAUAUUAAAAAGCAAGUCUUCCUUCUGGUUCAGACAUGAAUGAAAGACACUUCACACUGCUUAGCUACAAAUGAUUGUGACGAAAAUUAUUUCUUGUUUUCCAACCAACAAAUUUGGUCCCACUAUUUUGGAGAUAUUAUUGGUUAUUGUCUUUAAUUGAUGUAAUGUCCUAACAAACAUCUCGGUUGUAAAUUACCAUCUGAUUGAGAUUUGAGGAGCCCAACAGCGGCCGCUAUCCCUUGGAAGUCUUGGAAUCCUUAACUAAUCAAAUACCAAAUGACUUGCUUAGUUAAUACUUAAUGCAACACAUAUUACUGUCGGUCGAAAAUACCGAAAUAGGUCAAUAUUUAGCUACACGAGAUGCUAAUAUCAAGUGAAUAUUGAGAUCAAUUUCGAGACUCAUGAAUGUGAAAUGGAGUCUGUUUUGAAUAAUUUCAAUAAGUCACUGGCCUAAAAUAUUACUGUUUGAUUCAUUAACAAGUCAUUAGGGAAAAAUGUUCUGUUAAUUUGUUUGUCUAAAUGAUAUGUUAGAAGGAUCUUGCAGCUACUGCAUGAUUUGUCAUUGCAAAUUCAGGAAUUAUGUUCAAUAGCAUCUCAUCUGGUAAGUUUAACAGAUUGCAAAUUAUGAAAUUAUUGAUUAAAAUAUUGCUAAUCUUGUCAAAUCUUCAGUUUAUUGAUAAAUUAAGCAAUCAAGUUGUCAAGGGGUAGCGUAGCACAUCUAAGGUGUCAUUCUAAGUUGUUAAGUUUUGGGGUCAUUUGUGGUAGUUGAUUUUUGAUCAAUUUUUUCAUCAAUUGGAGGGAAAAUGAUCAGACUAAAAGAUUAUAAUAUAUGCAAGCUUUCGAUCAUAUAAAAGAAUGUAGAAUAGGGAUGAUGGUUGGGGUACUAACAAAUGAAGUAGCACUAUGGAUGAGAGAAUAACUAAUCAAAUACAACCAGAUAGGUGAGAUAAAAGUUUGGUAUAUCAAGAGAAAAUUUUAGCGCUAGCAGCUCAAAAGUAGAGAUGAUUUUUUUUUUUCAAAGCAGCAUAAUAGAAAAUUGCAUUAUACAAAGGCAUGGGAAAUUAAGCAGAAACCUUCAUGUCCCUCAAAAUAAUAGGGGAAAUAUGCCUAGAUGUCUUCAUGUGUGCAAACAUAAAAAAUGUCUUUGGCAAUGUAGGGGGAUGUCUCAAGAACAUAGUUAUAAAACACGGCCCGACUCGAUGGUCCAAUAGAUCAAUUUGAUGAAUUGGCCAAAAUGUCGGGUUGGAUCACUAAUUAGAUCGGUUAAGCAUUAAAUUCGUUUGACCAAUCAACGAUCUGAAGAUUCAAUCAAUGAAUCAGAAAAGAAUUACCGAUUGAACUGUCAACUUAAAGAUUUUAUUAUUUUUAUAAUUUAAAACAUAUUAUUAUAAUAUAUAAUAAAGCUAUUGUGUAACUCGCGAUUGAACCGGUGAGUCGGUCACCUCUUUUGACUAAGCUACGAGCUGAAUUUAAUAACUAUGCUCAAGAGGUUGAAGUAACAAUAUUUGAUUACUUUGAGACAUGAGAAAUUUCAAUCUAUUUAAACCUUUUUUUUGAAGAAAAAAAGUAGACAAUUUUAUUAAAGAGAUUACUAGAACCUGUCCAACACCAUUUGCGUUACAAAGAUUAUAGAGGGUAGUUCCAAAAAAUGUUGGCCAACUUGACAAAAUGUGCUAAAUUAUGUACGACUCUAUUUACUUCUCUUGGGAUCUAAAUUACAUCCACAUCGUGUUUGUCCAAGGCAAAACGCCUGCCUUCAAUUACAGAGCCUAUGCCCGAGAGGAUCUCCACUGACCUGAACCUUUCGUAAUUUACGAACCAAGAAAUUUAAACUCUUGCGGACACUACCAGUUUGUUCAAUUCACUGCAAAAAACUAAUUAUAUUGUCUUUCUUCUACAAUUUUUUUUUCUAAAUUUUAGGCUAAUAUAAGUUUAAUAAGAUGUUAAAAAGAAACAAAUCGUAACUCGUAGCAAUUUUAACUAGGAGGACUAUAAUGCUUUGAUUCAAGUCAGACUACAAAAGAAACCCAAUGUACACAUUAGAGAGCAUGGAGUACCACUUGUACCCCAUGUUGAGGCAUAAGGGCAAGCAUCUGUACAGGAGAGUGUACAUAACUUGGGGAGAGUGUGAAAGCAUAUCUCUGCAAAAUCAUUGAGAGUGCGAUCUUUACUUCAGUGAUUGCAAAAUUCGAGCCAACACAUGUUCGAGGUCCAAGGCUGAAAGGCAAAAAUGCUGCUGGAUUGUUGAUCUUGGUUGCUCCAGAAACCCCUUGUUCUGGAAAAGAUGGGCAUCAUCUCCCCAUAUCUGAGGGUCAUGGUGAACUGCUAAGAUUGCAAUAGAUAUGUUUAGAUCAGCAGGAAGCUUGUAGUUCCCUAAUUUUGCUCCUUCCUUUGUUGUUCUUCUUGCGUAGAUUGCUGGGGGAUAGAGUCUUAGAGUCUCAUUAAUGAUCAUGCUAAUCUGCACAAACAGAUGGAAAUCAGAAUCAUAAGAGAGGAAUAAAGUUCCUUCUGAUCAUUUGAAGGCGAACUCCAAGAAGUUCUUGUUUUCUUUCAUCUUCAAUCCACAUGUUAUAGUAUAAUAUUGAUGAUCAUAGCCGUAGGUAUGGAUUAAAAUAAAACGGUAUAAACAAUAGAUUGCCCUCCCUCUCCAUUAUCCUAAUCUAAUGUUGUAGAAAUAGCCUAAAAUUAAGAAAAAAAAAGAAAGAAAUUUUACAUACCGUUUUCAGUCUUGAAAUCCCUUCUGAAUUUGGGGGUCUUGUCCAAAUAAUUUGGUCACCUCUUCCCUGGCUUUCUCUUGCCAAUCAGUGUUGAUUGCUAGAAGAAGAAUUGUCCAUGAGAGCAAAAUUGAUGUUGUUCCAUGUCCAGCACCAUAAAAUGUCUUGCACUCAUCGAUUAUUUCUUCAAUAGAUAUGUUAUCAUUUUCACUACUACAAUCAUAAUGAGCUUUUAGAAGUAAUCCAAGAAAAUCUUCUCCAAAGCUUUGCUUAUCAUCCCCCUUUUUCCCUUUCUCCCUUUUCUUCACAAUUUCUACAAUGGAAUCUUGAAUUCCUUUCUCAAGUUUAUCCGAUUCUAUAUCAUCUCCGUCUUUGAAAAACUUCCUGAAAAAUUGAUCAGUAAAAAGAAUCAAGAAAAAGAAAAGAUAGUAGCUAUGUUAGGUACAUAAAUAGCUUGCUAAAUUGGAUUGCUGAAAUAAUAAGGACUUUUCAUCCCACACUAGAGUUUAUAAAGUGAAACAACAUCUAUUGGCCAGAGUAGUCCCCUAAUGCUUAAAGUCCGGAUUGGAUCACACAAAACCCCAACUGCUCUGAGUCCGGAUUCAAGGAAACAAAUGACUAUGGUAGUACUGCAAAAAGGUUCUAGCUUAAAGUAAUUACUAAAGGCAACUAACAAAACCAAUAUACACCUUCAACACACUUAGACAGGAGAAAUUUUAUCUUGAUGCAGACUAACUACAUGGUAAGCCUAGUAUUUGGUCUUUAACGAAUGUGAUAUUAUUGGCAAUAGCAAUUCACCGAAUUGUUCUUUAAUCUGACAUUAGUGGGUUCCACAAUAUUAUUUGAAGCUUCUUCAUUAGUUAAAAACCAACUAUUAAACUUCUCAAGUAGUUAGUCCUAUCGAGAUGAAAUUUCUUGAUUAGACACGUUGACCACAAAUAGCAAUAUAUCAAUUGGCAAUCAUGGGCUAUGAUCCCACGUAUGUAAUUCAAUAAGACCAAACAUAUAAUCACCUAAGGAAACUUUGACAUGUAAGUUGACAUUAUUAAAGUAUGGUUUAAUUAAUACAUUCUGACAUUAUCUCCUUUAAACCAAAUUCUUUAUUAAGAUUAUCACCUAAGAAUUCUUUAUCACCGAAUUCUUUUUUGAAGUUGUUGUAUUUAUUUUUUACUGAAUUAAUAGUUAUUGGAUCUUAAGGAAACAAAAAAGAACUAAACCAUGAUAUUUAUGAAGGAGAAAUAGCAAUAUAAUAAAAAGUGGGACAGAGAGUGGCACAGGGUAUAGGACAGAAGAUUCGUUGUGAAUCAAAUGCCAUCUCGAGCUACAAACUCUAUGGAAAACUCGGUCUUUGUAUAAAUCAUGUGCAACUCCAUCAUCUUGUUCCUUUGAUCUUUUUAGAUUUUUUUUUUUUCAAAAUAAAAUGCCAUAGCAAUUAUGGCUUCCUCAGGACUAAUCACAUCAUCAAAUAUAAAGAUAUUCUUGCUGGGGCUUCUGCCUCUAUUAACAACAAUUGAAGGAAAAGAUUUUCGUUUCUGUUAACCAACCAAAGUCAAAUGAUGUAAUCUGGCAAGCAUCAAUAAAAAGCUGUAGCAUGAAAUCAUCACCAUCAACUUUUAUUGGACUGCUGUCAAGGGUAAAAUUCCUUUUCAUGAUUCAAAAAUCAUAAAGCAGGGUCUAAUUCUUUCUCAUAAUUGAAGAUGGCAGGUUGAAAUGGUGUUCCACAGAUCAGUAUUUGAAAUGAACACAGAUACAUGUCAAAAUUGACUAUAAGCUAUGCAACAUACAAGUGGGCAUCAUGGAGAUGUUUACCUGAUGAAUGGAGGCUUAAGUUUGUAUGCAAUCUUGCCAGUUAAAAUCCCCAGCCUUUUCAUCAUGUUAAAUAUUUGUUCACCCUCCACAUAACUACUUCCAAAUGCAGUCCUAGAGAUGACCUCUGCAGUUAACAACAUGAACUCUUCACUGACAUCAAUUUCCUUGCCAUCAUAAUCUCUCCACCUUCUCAGCAUCAUCUCAACACUUUCAACCAUUGCUGGGGUCAUAUCCUAGAAAAGCCAAAAUAUUACUUAAUCGUAUAAUUAAUAUAAAGAUGUAGAUGAAUGCCACAACAACAAAACACUUGGGGUGUUAAAACUUUGUUGAUUUAGUCCUUUGCAAUUAGCAUUUUAAUGCACGAAUAAAUAUGCUUUUUCAAUUGCCAUGAGAAUUGUCUUCAUGUUUGACAAAAACGUGUAAUUUUGUUUUUCUAUAUAUUAGGAUUUUUUGCUGUGGGUAAUCAAUUUGAGAUACAUAAAUUUCCCAUCAAAGUGUAUGCAUUCUGAGGAUAUGCAAAAAGGGAAUGAAUUAAUUAGGAAGGGCUAAUUCUACUUUGCACCUUUAAAUUUAUACUCCAUUUCAUCUCGUAUUCUAAAUUUUAAUUUUAGACACUUCACACUGUAACAUCUCAAAUAUUUUCCGCUUAAGUCCAGUCGAUAAAAACAUUAAGAAUUGGAGAACCAGGCGUCACUGCAUUUUUUGCAUGACUGUUAGAUGAUGGUAAAUAUACUAUCACCUGUUAGAGUGACUAAGGUAUAAGAUAUGUGUAUGAUCCUCUAGUCAAUAAGUUUUUGAUAAAGUUGUUGUUGGUUGACUUAAGUCGCACAUAUAGGAGAGGACAGAGUGGAAAGUAUCCAAAACUGAAGUUCAAAUUGCAAAGUGAGAAUUGGUUACAAAUUUGGGGUGCAAAGUAGAAAGCUCCAAUGUGUAAUCAACCUGUCUUCUUUACUAGACUCUUGAUUUACAGUUUUUUUUUUUUUUUUUUGGGUACUACUCUUCAUUUACAGUUGAAAAGGUCCAAUGUGCAAUUGACAAAGAAAUAAUUAAGAAAAAUAUAAGUGAAUACCCCAAAACAUUAAACAAUCAAUACCAACCCACAUUAAACUUCUAGAUUUGAUUGUUCUACAUAAGUUCACAUGCCAGUAGAAGUAUAUAUAUAUAUUUUUUCACUUAAGGGUAUCCCAAUCUUUUGGCCAGACUAGUCCCCUAAAAGUGUAGAGUCUUGCUCUAAGGAUAUACAACGAAAUAGCACACAGGGUCGAUCAUGAGACCUGUUGGUAACUAUCAGACUAUGAAACUAGUUGGACUACUCCCGCCGCAACUACACGCCGGAGGCACAUAUCAGCAGAAGUAUGAGCAAUAUAAAAUCUGCUUGUUUACGUACUAGGCUGAUGACUUAAUAAAGACCAACUUUUAUAUAAAAAUAAAAGUACCAUGGCCAAAAAAAAAAAUAAAAAUAAAAAAUGACACAAAAGUCUCAUAGAACAACUUUUUUCUUAGACAAGAGGGCAAAAUAAUUGUUCGUUAUUUCUCACAAUACACAAAGUACUAUGAAAUUAUGAAUGCCGUAAUUUAUGUAUUAACAACCCAUUCCAAAUAAAUUAAUAAAUUAAAUGAAAAAGUGUAACUAGCUAAAGUAAGUAUGACUAAUUUGUGGAUCUUACCCUUAAACUCUCACCAUGAAAGGCUUGGUUGGCCAGUUUUCGCAAUUUGACCCAUUUUUCUCCUUCUGAUUGCCCAAGACCACCUCCUACAAUCUUUUUCAAAUAUUUACUCAAUUUUGCUAUGGUAAAAAAUUGUUCCUUAUCAUUCAGUAUUUCUUUUAUGAGAUCCAGAUCUGUGAUAACCAAUUCUGCUCCAGCACCACGCCUCCACCGGAGAAAAAUCUUCCUUCUCCAAAAAAAAUAUCUUGAUUAACUAGGUAAAAGAAGUUGUAACAUAAGCAAAAUGUUUUAGCUAGAUGGGAACAUCAAAACUUUAAACUUGAAAAUCCUAUAGUCGACUGUCCUUAACAUAUGUAACCAGCUACAAUGGCCUACACUCAAUUUGGAAAAGGCAUUUGAGGUGGCAAGUUCCGCUUUGAUUAUCUAACUAUCCACAAAUCAACAUCAAGCCCCCCAAUAACAAAAAAAAACACUAAUCAACAUCAAAUUUUACCUUGAAGAUCUGAUUACCCCCGGGGGGGGGGGAACAAAUAAUACAAGUGAAAAUGAUGUAGCUUACCAUAAAUGUUCAUCCAAGAGUAUAUGUGAGGCUGAAUUACUGGAAAUAUGUCAUGUGAUAAGUUGGUGGUGUUCUCUUUCUUCUUUAGCAAUUCUCUGGGGCUGCCAUGAAGGAUACUACGAGGAGGGCCUUUGAUGCCUUGUGAUUCCAGUCUAUGUUGAAUCCGCAUUGGUUUCCACCAUAUUAUGUGAAGAACUUUGAUCAAAGCAAAGAGUAUGUAAAUCAGAACAAACCCCACAAAGUAAAACUUCAUGGACUCCAUAGAGAAUCAGACCAAAGACUUAUGGCCUUGGCAUGAUCAAGACUGAGAAGCAGAACCAAGAGAAAAGACACUCAAAGAGGUCAAGACUGAAAUUGAGACACAAUUUGCUAGACGAAACUCAUUGAUGCUACAAAACAAGGAAGAUUAAAAAAAUCACACGACUAAUGAGAACAAGUUAAUUAUUAAGCAUAGACAACUGACAUCUCGACACGUUAAUCAAGAAUAUUAGUAAAAUAAUCCGAUUAAAAGAAUAAAGAAUUGUUUGCUUUUGUACCAUUUAUCUAAUUAUUUAUCUACUCCUUGAGCACGUGUCAGUGCAUACUCUAACAACAAAUGUGAAUAAAAUUUGUGACAUAAGUUUCGAAACUUUGGCUUUUGUUCUUUAAGCGUAAAUGGUGUUAGGUCUUGUUGAUUCGAUUGCUGCUACCAAAUAAGGUUACUAAGGAAUGAUUAAUAUUUCAUAGCGAUUGGAUGCAUCAAUAUUUUUGGUUUUCACAAAGCUCUAUUAUCAUUGAUUGUUCCUUAGUCUGAUGAAUAUUUCUAUUAAACAUCCAAAAAAUAACCAAAAGAAGUGCCAUGUUACCUCUCCAAUUGGUCAUGUUUUACCGAAAAACAAAAGAACAAAAAAUUAGAAAAGAGAGAACUCUUUUGGUCAUUGGCACUCUGGUUCUUCGACCUUGAUUUUACAUGUGCCAGCUACUUAGGGGUCCAAUCAUCUGUUCUUUCUUUACUUUUUUUUCUGGGUAAUUAUCUUGUUGUUUAUUAUAGAAGUUGUGUUGUAUAGUGCGAAAGGCCAAGAGCUAAGAAAUACUUCCGAGUCCGGCAAGUAAUGGAACAAUUCUAUUCACAAUAACAAGGAGAAAAAGAUUUAAUCUACACUUGAUAAGUAGCAAUCUGAAUAGGAGUUGGGUACUAUUUUGGACGCAUGAAUGCGUAACUACAUCUUCAUUGCCCCUAUUCAUAAUAAUUUCAAAUUUUGUUUGCAUUGAAAAAUUUGACGAAGGAUUUAAAAUUCAUUUAAAUCACUUAAUUGUUUGACUUGUUUAAGAGGCAUUUAAUUUUGUAAUUCAUCAAUUAUCUAAGUAUUACUUAAAUAUUAGAAUACUUAGUGAUUUAUGAGUUCAAAUUUCUCUUAUAUCUUCAAAUUCUUUAUUAAAUUUCUUAAUCCAAACGUAGCCUGAUUUUAUAUAUUAUGUUUUUCUUUGUAACUGUUCCUACCCUAAGGAGAAAAUAGGGAUAAUUUCACAAACCGCCCUGAGGUUUCUGACACUUGCACUGAGACCCCUCCAAGUUUUAAAAAUUUCACCUAGCUGCCUUGUUUUUCAAAUUUGGUAACAAUUCAGUCCAAUUUGGAUUAAAAUAUUACUAUCAUGAUAGAGAUGACAUUUAUAUUCCAUGAAUACCCUCUUCCUCCCUAUAUUAGUACAAGAUUACUUGUUAAUAAAAAGGUAGAGAUGAUUAUGGGUAUUUUAUUCUAUAUCAUUUAAUUUAUGUUAAAUACAUAAAUAUUUGCAAAUAAAAUUCAAAAGCCGUUACACAAAUAUUUUUACGAAAGGAAAACUAGCAUGUUUUGUAUUUAAUAUAAAUGAAGUAUUUGAAAGUAAAAAAAAAUGUCCAUAACAUCCCAGUUCUUUACGAGUUUCUUCCAUUAUAUGAAUAAAGUACUAACUAUUUAUGAGUAUUUUAUUUUGAAUCAUUUAAUUUAUAUUAAAUACAUAAAUGUUUAUAAGUGAAAUUCAAAAAGUGUUACACUAAUAUUAUUACGAAAGGGAAACUAGUAGGUUUUGUAUUUAACAUAAAUUAAAUACGUGAAAAUAAAAAAAAAAUUACCCACUUUUUACCAGUUCUUUACGGGUUUCUUCUAUUAUAUGAAUAAAAUAUUAGCUAUUUAUAGGCAUUUUACUCUGAAUCAUAUAAUUUAUGUUAAAUACAUAAAUGUUUGUAAGUAAAAUUUAAAAAGUGAUAUACUAAUAUUUUUACGAAAGGAAAACUAGUAGGUUUUGUAUUUAACAUAAAUUAAAUACGUAAAAGUAAAAAAAGAAAAGAAAUUGCCCAUAACAUAUCAGCUCUUUAUGGGUUUCCUCUAUUACACGAACAAAGUAAUAGUUAUUUAUGAGCAAAAAGAAAUAUCCCAUAAAGUACCAACUCUUUAUGGCCUUUGUCUAUUAUAUGAACCAAGUACCAAAUUUUUAUGGACAUUUUAUUCUGAAUCAUUUAAUUUAUGUUAAAUACAUAAAUAUUUGCAAAUAAAAUUCAAAAGCUGUUACACAAAUAUUUUUACGAAAGGAAAACUAGUAUGUUUUGUAUUUAAUAUAAAUGAAAUAUUUGGAAGUAGAAAAAAAAUUGUCCAUAACAUACCAGUUCUUUACGAGUUUCUUCCAUUAUAUGAAUAAAGUACUAGCUAUUUAUGAGUAUUUUACUUUGAAUCAUUUAAUUUAUAUUAAAUACAUAAAUGUUUAUAAGUGAAAUUCAAAAAGUGUUACACUAAUAUUAUUACGAAAGGGAAACUAAUAGGUUUUUAUUAACAAGCAAUCUUGUACUAAUAUAGGGAGGAAGAGGGUAUUCAUGAAAUAUAAAUGUCAUCUCUAUCAUGAUAGUAAUAUUUUAAUUCUAAUUGGACUGAAUUGUUACCAAAUUUGAAAAGCAAGGGAGCUAGGUGAAAAUUUUAAAACCUAGAGGGGUCUCAGUGCAAGUGUCAGAAACCUCAGGGGAGGUUUGUGAAAUUAUCCCGAGAAAAUAUUUACGAUAAGAGGCAAUAUAUGUUAUAAGGGCAAUAAAAUUGUAUCAGUUGCUAUGGAGAUGAAAAAUUUUAUGGUGCAAUAUGUUUGUGUACGUCUUAGACAGGUCAGUGAUUUUGGGUAAAGAUAUUGAUUUACUUAAAUUUUCUGAAAUGAUCAACUCGCUAAUGAAAUCAUUAACUACGCCUUAAAAAUGUACCUUGGUUUCCUUCACCUAAUUUCUCUUGUGAUGAUCUCAAUUAGACGAGAGUUACAAAAAGGGUAAAGCGAACUUGACAAGGGACCGGUGACGUGCAAACAAUAAGCAGAAGUAAAAACUUAGGAUGGUCUAAAAAAAUCUAUGGUGCAGGUAAUAAGAGGAACUAAACUGACUUAUAAUAAUAAAGUUUAGUGCCUAUAUCGACUUUGUUAAAAUAGCUGAAGGGCUAAACUGGCUCAUAAUAAAGUUUAGAAACUAUUUUGAAAUUAGCAAAAUAGUUUAGGGACUAAAUUGUUGUUUUACUCCUUUUGUCAUUAAACCUGGCGUGUGGCUUAGCCAGUUUUUGUUAGCAGCUUUCAAUUGCUAAUUAAUUGUGUUGAACUGGACAAGACAAUUGAUUCAUUUAAUCUGUUAAAGGGACAGGUGAAUAGGCAAAAAUAAGGUCAAUUAAUGAUGAAGUUGAUAUCCAAAAUUGAAAAAAGAAGAAAAUGAUUAUUAAAACCAAAUCAAAUGCAUAAGCCAGAUUAUCCAUUUUGACUAAGUAAAAGAAGUCUCUUGCAUAGUUGACAAGGUAAGAACAGUAGUCGAAAUAAAAUAAUUGUCACUACUCAGUCAAAUAUGCAGCCAAAACCUUCAAUUUUCGGACAAAUAUGGGCACCAUAUCGACCAAGAUCUGAUAAAUAUGGGUUUUGGACUCGUGUACUUAGAUUUAUUAUUGGUCAAUAACGUAAACAAGUAAACAAAAUAUUAAAGCGGCUGCAUUUUAGAAUGCUUUUAGUAGUAGAUCACCCUUUAAAUUUCAUAUUAGGAUCUUUCAACUUUAAAUAUUAUUUGGAAUAAUUACUAUAAUAUUUUUUUUACUGUGAUGUAUAUGAGAUAAAAAGGUGAUUGAGAACAUAAAAACGUAAGUUGAAAAAUAUGUUUAUAAUAUACCAAAAUAUUAUUAUUUGAAAUAACUUAACUAUCUAAAGUCUAAACAUUUUCCUUUAAAUAACAAUAAUGUCAUGCCUUGGUGCAAGAAUUGUAUUGUUAAAUAGAAAUAAAAUUUUUUAAAAUUGUGACAAUAUUAGGCUUUCUUAUUGCUUGUAAACCGAUCUGUAGUCUUUUUUUUUUUUUUUUUCCUCUCGGUUGUAAAACAAAACUUACCAAUUAAUUGUGGUGAGGAAAGAAUCUUACAAGGCACAGUAGCACUUUCACUUUCUCGGCAAGCACGUAAUUUGCUUCAACACCUCCACAUGCCGGCGCAUCUCCUUCUCUAAUUCAACACGUUUUGCUUCAACAUAUGAUGACCGGACUGAGACAACAGGAGCCGAGACGGCACGGGAAUGACUUUCUCAACCCCUUCAAUCUAUAAAACCAGCUGUGUUUGCAUUCAUUUUGCAACUCAAAAAUCUGCUCACCAAAGUGAUUAUUGACAGCUAAACUUCUUAUCUUUCAGCAUUCACCUUGAUAAAUCAGCAAUCAUCCAAUAAAAUGGCAUCAUCAUCAUCAUCUUUUCGUAUACUGUGCAUCUUGUUAUUAUGUUGUUCCAUUGCAUUCGGAUCUGACCCCAGCCCUCUUCAAGACUUGUGUGUUGCAGAUACAACAAGUCCAGGUAUGAUUAUUUCCUGAAAACUAGCUCUAAUUAGGUACUAGAAAAUAAUGUUAACUGUCACUUUUUUCCUUUUGUGUUUUUUUUUUGGUUACUUUUUUCUGUUUCAUGUUUUGUCUCUGAACCUUUUUAGUUUUGUCGUUUGCAGUUAUGGUGAAUGGCUUUGUUUGCAAGGAUCCAAAACUUGUACAAAAAAAUGAUUUCUUCUUUAGCGGGCUUCACUUGGUUGGCAACACAUCAAAUGCAGUUGGGUCAAGAGUGACUCCUGUAGCUGUUGCCCAAAUCCCAGGGCUUAACACUCUAGGAAUAUCUUUGGCUCGAGUGGACUAUGCACCUUGGGGCAUUAAUCCUCCACAUACUCAUCCUCGAGCCACUGAAAUCUUGACUGUCAUUGAAGGUACACUGCAGGUUGGUUUUGUCACAUCAAACCCUGAGAAUCGAUUGUUCAUGAAAGUGUUGCAGAAGGGGGAUGUGUUUGUAUUUCCAGAAGGUCUCAUCCAUUUUCAGCGCAACGUGGGAUAUGGUAAUGCUGUUGCCAUAGCUGCUCUCAGCAGCCAAAAUCCCGGUGUUAUCACAAUUGCAAAUGCUGUUUUUGGCUCUGAACCAGCUAUCCCUAGUGAUCUUCUUGCAAAGGCCUUCCAAGUUGAUGGGAAGAUAAUUGACCAGAUACAGUCCAAAUUCUAAACAAAAUUUCCCACCUUUAACACCCCAAAUACAAUUCUUUUGUUGUAUUAAUUCGUCUACUUCAUUAAGUUGUUUAUUGUAUUGAUUCUUUGGAUUCUUUGUAUUACUUGAAAAUUCUUUAUUUCAGAAAUAACUUUUUAAGUCUGAUCCUUGUCUCUAUGUUCUGGAUAUGUUGUGCAGUUUUGUCUAUUCAUUAGCAUUAAGACAAUUUGGUUUUCUUAUUAUUUCAUGGUGUCUGUUUGUGCUAAAUAUUAAAGCAAUGUUUUUAAACUCGAAAUAGCUAGUCAGUCGAUCAGCCUACCAAUUCUCAAUUCUACCUGUUCAUUGAUUCAAUGAUUCUCUCUCUUUCUCUUGCUCUUUUUUUUUUUUUUUUUUAAAUAAUCUUAGCAAACACUAAAUCAUCUAAUGCAAAAAGUAAGAAAUUUCUCAAAUAUCAUAAAAAAGCAAGGGCAAAAAAAAUAGAAAUCUCAUGUCUCAAAUAUUAAGGUAACAAAUUAUUACUCCAAAUCUAGCUUGAGAAGAAAAAGAACGGGAGCACUGUGAAAGGAAAGGAACUAACAUCAUCUUCAUCUUCUUCCCAUUUAGAUAAAUUUACUAAGACAAUCUUCAUUUUCUUCCUGUUUACAUAAUUUCAAAUCAGCAUCUCCAAUUAUAAACACAUUACCAUUUUUGUGUUUAAUAAACAUAAGAAAAAGAUUGUUUUAGAAAAAAGAAAGAAAGAAAGAAAUAGAUCUUAAUGAAAGAAAAGCAUAAAGAAGAGAAAAGGAAAAUAAAAUAAUUGUAAUUUGAAGAGAUCAACUGAUCAAGAAUGUAAAAGUGCCUUUCAUCAAACAACAUUAGAAACAAAGAAUGAAAGCUGAUUUAGGUAACAAAAAGGACAGGAAUGAAGAGGAUACCGUAACAGAAAACACGGCUUUUUUUGUUUUUUAAUGGUUGUUUACGUCUGUUAAUGUAAAGGAUGAGUAUAUUUUCAUCAUUAUAUAUAAGUUGUGACCCAUCAUGCCAUGGUCAACGAACGCCCCGAGUUGCAUUGAGUUCGUAGGUUAAUGUUUAGAAGUGGCGCAAAGGUGACCAGAGCCCAAAUUUGGACCAUUUUGUGAAAAGGGGGAAAAAAAACCUCAACCUUUCCAGUUCGAUGGUUUCUAAUCGGUUCCACAAGUUUGAUCGGUUAUUAUUCAUUUUGUCGAUUUAACAUAUAACUAGGAUGGCAUCAUGGACGGUUCUUGAUUGAGUGGAUUUUCAUGUACAUGAAACUAAGGGUCUGUUUGGUUGGAAGUAAAAUGUUUUCCUUGGGAAAAUAUUUUCCGUGGAAAUUAUUUUCCAUGAAAAUCAUUUCCCUUUCAUCAUUUUCAGGUGUUUGGUUAGUUUAUUGAAAAUAUUUUCUUACUUCAUUUUUCUGGUGUUUGUUUAACUUUUGAAAUAUUUUCACUUUUAUCUCUAUCUUUACUUUCUACACAUUAUAACUACAUACUUCUUCCCAUGCAAAAUAAGAAAAUUUAUCUCAUUGUUUAACUUUAAAAAAUCUUGGAGAAAUGUAUAUAUGAAUAAAAAAUAUCUCCUUAAGCAAUAAACAAAUUGCUGGCCAUUUAGUGUCAAAUAUCAAUCACAUGCAAUGCUUAUUGUGACAUAUAUCUUGCACUCUCACCGUUGAAAGUUUCUCUAGAAAAGAAUGUCCCUAUUAUACAUAAUUAAUUACUAGCAUAGGAUGAGCAGGAUGAGGUUUUUUUUUUAUUUUGAAUAUACUAGGGGAGGGUUGGGUUGGGUGGUAUGGGGGAGGGAGUGUAAGGAAGAGGUUUUGGGUUCGAGUCCUCUUGUUUACACUAAAAAAAAAAAAGAACAUACUACAAGAUGUUUUCAGUAAGUUUGAAACAUACUAGGCGGGAUGCAUGCAUUUCGGAAAACAACUUCAGUAAGUUUGGAAGGAAAGUUGUUUUCCAUAAGAUGAGUGAAAAUAUUUUACAUAGGAAAAUGUUUUCAGUAACUUUUGUGCAACCAAACACGGGAAAUUAGGAAAAUAUUUUUCUGGAAAACAUUUUCACCUAAAACAAACGGACCCUAAAUAAACUAGGACUUUAAACUUCACUAUGUGAGUAGGGGAGCCAAAUGCUAGCUAGUAAGAAUCGAUUCAUUGCGAUAAUGAGUUUUGGUUCAUGUUGAAAAUGAAAUCCCUAACAAGACACAAGUAAUAGCAAGAGAAUGAUAUUUGAAAAGAAAUCCCUAACAAGAUAGAAGUAAUAGCAAGAAAAAGAUUAUUUUACUUGUAUUUUUGACCAUUGGUGGAAUCUGUGUUCUAGAACUUUGUAUUUGAUAAAUUUUUCCUCUAAAAAGGUUUCCUUCCACAAGUUAGCUUCAUAAUUCUAGUUAGUUGAUAUAAUUGUUUUUUAUUGCUUUAAUUGAUUAUUAUCUAAAUAAUAGAGUAACUAAGGAUCUAGCAAUUAGAAUGUAAGUUCCUCGUGGGAUCGAUCUUUAUACACCCUAAACUAUAAUCAUGACCUGUAUAUUUAUAGAAAAUCAGUGUAUUUAAAAUUAAAUUUGACUGCAUAUUUGAACCCCGUCAUAAGAAAAGGAUAAGAUCUACAAACAAGAGAAAAGAAAAGAAAAAGUAAUUGUAAUUUCAAGAGAUCAAGAUCCCCUCCAUUUCCUCUCCUCCACAGCUCCACUCCCCAAAAACAGCCACUCUUUCACACACACUCAAGUCAUCCACCCAACAAAAAAUCCAACCCAAAAAAAAAAACACCAAAAACAGAAGCGAAAAUGAGAGAAAUCCUUCACAUUCAGGGUGGCCAAUGCGGCAACCAGAUCGGAGCCAAGUUCUGGGAGGUCAUUUGCGACGAGCACGGCAUUGACCACACUGGAAAGUACUCCGGCGACUCAGAUCUUCAAUUGGAGCGCAUCAAUGUCUACUACAACGAAGCCAGCGGCGGAAGAUAUGUUCCCCGGGCUGUUCUCAUGGACCUUGAGCCCGGUACCAUGGAUUCCGUCAGGUCCGGCCCUUAUGGUCAGAUCUUCCGCCCGGAUAACUUUGUUUUUGGACAAUCCGGUGCUGGGAAUAAUUGGGCUAAAGGGCAUUAUACUGAGGGUGCUGAGUUGAUUGAUGCUGUUCUUGACGUUGUUAGGAAAGAAGCUGAGAAUUGUGAUUGUUUGCAAGGUCGAAUUUCGUUUUCCUCUUUCAAUUUUAUGGAACUUCGGUUUAAUAUUAAUUAGAUCUGGGUUUUGUUUUUCUUUAUUGUUGGAAUGUUGUUUUUUGGGUAUAGAUCUGCAUUUUUUGCUAUAUUCCAUUUGCGGAGAGUUAUGAAAAUUUGCUGGAUCUAGCUUUUGGGUUUUGUGAAAAUUAACGGAUUUAUGGUGUAUAUUUGAUUUUGCAUCGUUCUUCACCUGAGAAUUGUAGUGCACGCACGUGAUAUCCUAAUUUAAAGUCUGUGAAAAUGGCGCGCUUGGAUUCUUGAUUUUGGGCUAUUCCUUUUUCUCUUUUUCGUUGUACAAUAGGUACAAUAUGGAAAUGCCCUUUACAGUAAAUGGCCUAAAUUCGUGCUAUUUGUACUAAUUAUGCUUCCAAACGUCUCUAUCUCAUUGGCUUUUGGUUUCGUAACUGGAAUGCAUUUGGGUUUUGUAAUUUUGCCAUCUACGCCUCUGAAGGAAGCUUUUUCGAGUUGGUAGAUCUCACUUUUGUUGAGGAUGUAGGUAUAUACGAAUUUUUUAUAUUGAUGUUAUCAUUGCCAAUUUAAAAUCAGUGGUGAUUUCAUUUAGGUGACAUUUAAUAGCUUUUUUUUUCUAACUUGCUUACCUGUCAUGCUAAUGUGUGGAAUGGUUUUGUGGUGGUCUCACGAGGCAGUAUGUUGUUUAUUUGUUAACCUGAGGCUGAUGUAAUUGAGAUGAAAUUUUAGAUACUGGUGCUUAGAUUUUGGUUGGCUGUAUCUUGAUUGACGUAUUGCUUGCUGUUAAUGAUUAGUGCUGAUGAUUAUGUUGUUUAAUAGGAUUUCAAGUGUGUCAUUCAUUGGGUGGAGGUACUGGAUCUGGUAUGGGCACACUUCUCAUUUCAAAGAUCAGGGAGGAGUAUCCAGACCGCAUGAUGUUGACGUUUUCGGUCUUUCCUUCUCCUAAAGUAUCUGAUACUGUGGUCGAGCCAUACAAUGCUACACUGUCUGUCCACCAACUUGUUGAGAAUGCAGAUGAAUGCAUGGUUUUGGAUAACGAGGCUCUAUAUGACAUCUGUUUCCGUACUCUCAAGCUGGCUACUCCUACUUGUAAGUCCUCAUGCUGACUACUUAGGUUUGAUAUUUGACUUUAAUAUUAACUUUGUGGUAUGCAUUUUUAACCCAUAUUUAUGGUCUGGUGGCUAGGGGAUAGGGGUUAAUGCCCUUCGCUGAUCCCCUGACCAGUCAGGGUGGGAGGGAUUUGGGGUAAAAAAGGGGGGGGGGGAGGGGCCAGAAAAAAGCCCAGGUUUAUGGUAAAACAGCUUGGGCUUGAAAUUCCUAAAGAUUUUAUGGUUUUUGGUUUUUCCCUUUUUUUUCAAUAAUUAAUGGGUAGAGGUUAAAUGUGGUAAUAAGUUUUACUGUAGUAUUGGUCACUUAUUAGCCACUCCAUGUGCUUGGUUGGUGGUGGUUGUUCUUUGGCGUUUUCUUUUCGGCCACAGUUUACAUUCUUAACGUGCCUCUCUUCAUUUGGUUGAUUAACUUCAGUUUUUCAAUGCAUACACAUGCUCUGUCUCCAUCUCCCUCUCUUUCCCUCUCUCUCACACACACACACAAAACAAAAACAUCAAGGACAUAGGUUUAACUGAUGUUCUAGAAAUAUGGGAUGUUUUGGUUGUUAGUUUGCUUCUUGUAUUUGCCUGAGACUAGUUUAUAUGAAAGCUUUUGACAUGGAUCAAAAUUUGAACCGGGAACACUUGCUAAAUUGUGCUUGUUUUUGGCUGUACUUCAGUUGGUGAUCUCAACCACCUCAUUUCUGCUACCAUGAGUGGUGUCACAUGUUGUCUUCGCUUCCCUGGACAGUUGAACUCUGACCUGCGUAAACUUGCCGUUAACCUUAUCCCAUUCCCACGACUCCAUUUCUUCAUGGUGGGCUUUGCACCUUUAACAUCCAGGGGUUCCCAGCAAUACCGUGCUCUCACUGUCCCUGAGCUGACACAGCAGAUGUGGGAUGCAAAAAACAUGAUGUGUGCUGCUGACCCACGUCAUGGUCGGUACUUAACUGCUUCAGCCAUGUUCCGUGGCAAGAUGAGUACCAAAGAGGUUGACGAACAGAUGAUCAAUGUCCAGAAUAAGAAUUCAUCUUACUUCGUUGAAUGGAUUCCCAACAAUGUCAAGUCCAGCGUAUGCGAUAUCCCACCCAAGGGUCUGAAAAUGGCAUCUACUUUCAUUGGCAAUUCAACUUCCAUCCAGGAAAUGUUCAGGCGUGUAAGUGAGCAAUUCACAGCUAUGUUUAGGCGCAAGGCUUUCUUGCACUGGUAUACUGGUGAAGGAAUGGAUGAAAUGGAGUUUACCGAGGCUGAGAGCAACAUGAAUGAUCUGGUAGCUGAAUACCAGCAAUACCAGGAUGCCACUGCUGAUGAUGAGGAAUAUGAAGAGGAGGAAGAAGAAGUAGGAGCAACAGCAUGAGGCAUCUUUCACAUUUCAUCAGUUUGCUGGAGGGUUAUGGUCUGUUU
Molecule: long non-coding RNA, 20740 nt
Filed under: Coffea arabica (coffee)
Lineage: Eukaryota; Viridiplantae; Streptophyta; Magnoliopsida; Gentianales; Rubiaceae
Description: long non-coding RNA (CARA_LNC006532)
Source: RNAcentral